AUCAAGGGAGUAGCAGACGGUUAGCCGUGAUUGUGUCGUCAAUACGGAAUUUCGAUUUCCGGUACAAUCUGAAACAGCGAGACUUGUUUAAGAAAAAUAAACAGGUCUUUUUAG
Non-coding RNA from Streptococcus equi subsp. zooepidemicus H70, 114 nucleotides. NCBI's taxonomy places the organism in Bacteria, Bacillati, Bacillota, Bacilli, Lactobacillales, Streptococcaceae. The record is from Rfam.